Molecule: long non-coding RNA, 611 nt
Organism: Phyllostomus hastatus (greater spear-nosed bat)
Lineage: Eukaryota; Metazoa; Chordata; Mammalia; Chiroptera; Phyllostomidae
Exons: 2
Source: RefSeq, a predicted model, not a curated record
AUUUCUCUACCUGCGUUCGCACCCACACCGAGGCUGUGUCAUCCCUGGCGGCUGAGAGAGCUUGGCUGCUUUCAUUCAGAUGCCGCUUCUUACACACAGCACCCGGGACAAGACACUUAAAGAAAUGUCCGUCAGGUCACUAGCUGACCAUCCCAAGUACAGAACAGAGACUUCAGGGGCCACAGACAAAGCAUACAGUCUAUACAAAAAUGGUUUAGAAAAGUCACUAAACAACCAACUGUAACCCACAAUGAACAACAAAAACAAUCCCCAUAGACUGUUAUUUGGCGAUUAAAAAGUGAAGUACUCAACAUACUACAGUAUGGACAAAACUUGAAACAUUUUGAUAAAUGGAAGAAGCCACACAAGAGGCCACAUAUUGUGUGACUCCAUUCACAUCAAGUACCCAGAAGAGGCAAAUGGAGACGGGAAGCAGGUCAGCGAUUCCACGGGUCGGGGUCUUGGUUGGGGGGCGACUGAUCAGCGGGUGAGCGGUUUCCUUCCCGGGGACGGAGUUGCUCUGGAGCUGGGUCGUGGUGAUGGUUGCACAACACUGUGUAUGUUCUAAGUAUCGUUGAGUUUUAUACUUUAAAACGGUAAGUUUUAAGUGA